Molecule: ribosomal RNA, 1213 nt
Filed under: uncultured Hydrogenobaculum sp.
Lineage: Bacteria; Pseudomonadati; Aquificota; Aquificia; Aquificales; Aquificaceae
Description: bacterial SSU rRNA
Rfam family: Bacterial small subunit ribosomal RNA
Source: RNAcentral
GGCAAAAGGUGAAAGCGAGGCUGUAAAGGCUUCGGCUCAAAGAGGGGUUCGCGUCCUAUCAGGUAGUUGGUGGGUAAUGGCCUACCAAGCCAAUGACGGGUAGCUGGUCUUAGAGGAUGAUCAGCCACAGCGGGACUGAGACACGGCCCGCACCCCUACGGGGGGCAGCAGUGGGGAAUCGUGGGCAAUGGGCGCAAGCCUGACCCCGCAAUGCCGCGUGAGGGAAGAAGCCCUUCGGGGUGUAAACCUCUGUCAGAUGGGAAGAUGGGGCUAGGGGCUAAUACCUCCUGGUCUUGACGGUACCAUCAGAGGAAGGGACGGCUAACUACGUGCCAGCAGCCGCGGUAAUACGUAGGUCCCAAGCGUUUCGCGAUGUUACUGGGCGUAAAGCGUCCGUAGCUGGUUUCGUAAGCGGAUUGUCAAAGCCCGAAGCUCAACUUCGGCAAGGCAUUCCGAACUGCGUUACUUGAGUCCUGUUCAGGUAGGCGGAAUUCCCGGUGUAGCGGUGAAAUGCGUAGAUAUCGGGAGGAACACCAGUGGCGAAGGCGGCCUACUGGGACGGUACUGACGGUCAUGGACGAAAGCUGGGGGAGCAAACCGGAUUAGAUACCCGGGUAGUCCCAGCCGUAAACGAUGGAUGUUAGGUGUAGUGAUAACUUCGCUGCACCCCAGCUAACGCGUUAAACAUCCCGCCUGGGGAGUUCGGGCGCAAGCCUGAAACUCAAAGGAAUUGGCGGGGGCCCGCACAACCGGUGGAGCGUCUGGUUUAAUUCGAUGCUAACCGAAAAACCUUACCAGGAUUUGAAAUGGUAGGAAAGGCUGUCGAAAGAUAGCCGUGUUUCCCUUUUGGGAGAAAUCCUACCACAGGUGGUGCAUGGCCGUCGUCAGCUCGUGUUGUGAGAUGUUGGGUUAAGUCCCGCAACGAGCGCAACCCUUGUCCUUAUUUGCUUCCUCGUAUGAGGUGCUCUAUAAGGAGACUGCCGGCGACAAGCCGGAGGAAGGAGGGGACGACGUCAGGUCAGUAUGCCCUUUUUGCUCUGGGCUACACAGGCGCUACAGUGGCAAGGACAAUGAGUAGCAAGAGUGCAAGCUCAAGCUAAUCUCACAAACCUUGUCGUGGUGCGAAUUGAAGGUUGUAACUCACCUUCAUGAAGCCGGAAUCGGUAGUAAUGGCGCAUCAGCUAUGUCGCCGUGAAUACGUUCCCCGGGCCUU